GCUGUCUUAGCCAAGUGGUCGAAGGCAAUGGAUUGCAAAUCCAUCGUGGAAUAAUAUCCCAGUCCCGAGUUCGAAUCUCGGAGGCAGCUCCA
Molecule: transfer RNA, 92 nt
Filed under: Vibrio chagasii
Lineage: Bacteria; Pseudomonadati; Pseudomonadota; Gammaproteobacteria; Vibrionales; Vibrionaceae
Description: tRNA-Cys
Rfam family: tRNA
About the family: Transfer RNA (tRNA) molecules are approximately 80 nucleotides in length. Their secondary structure includes four short double-helical elements and three loops (D, anti-codon, and T loops).
Source: RNAcentral